AACGCGAAGAACCUUACCUGGCCUUGACAUGCUGGUAGUAGAAACCGGAAACGGUGACGACUCCUCGCAAGAGGAGAGCCAGCACAGGUGCUGCAUGGUUGUCGUCAGCUCGUGUCGUGAGAUGUUGGCUUAAGUGCCGCAACGAGCGCAACCCCUGUGUUUAGUUGCCUGCGAAAGCGGGAUCUCUAAACAGACUGCCUCGCUUUAAACGAGGAGGAAGGUGGGGAUGACGUCAAAUCAGUAUGGCCCUUACGGCCAGGGCUGCACACGUGCUACAAUGCAUGGUACAGAGGGACGCAAGACCGCGAGGUGGAGCAAAUCCCAGAAAACCAUGCCCAGUUCAGAUUGAAGGCUGCAACUCGCCUUCAUGAAGCCGGAAUCGCUAGUAAUGGCGCAUCAGCUACGGCGCCGUGAAUACGUUCCCGGGCCUUGUA
RNAcentral lists this ribosomal RNA (434 nucleotides) under uncultured Verrucomicrobiota bacterium. RNAcentral's name for it is "bacterial SSU rRNA". It matches the Rfam family "Bacterial small subunit ribosomal RNA", at positions 958 to 1385 of the family's 1533-position model. Lineage: Bacteria; Pseudomonadati; Verrucomicrobiota. The record is from RNAcentral.